CACUAUACUGUGAAACUGCGAAUGGCUCAUUAAAUCAGUCAUAAUUUAUUUGAUAGUACCUUUACCUGGAUAACCGUGGUAAUUCUAGAGCUAAUACAUGCUAAAAACCUCGACUUCGGAAGGGGUGUAUUUAUUAGAUAAAAAACCAAUGCCCUUCGGGGCUCCUUGGUGAUUCAUAAUAACUUAACGAAUCGCAUGGCCUUGCGCCGGCGAUGGUUCAUUCAAAUUUCUGCCCUAUCAACUUUCGAUGGUAGAAUAGUGGUCUACCAUGGUUUCAACGGGUAACGGGGAAUUAGGGUUCUAUUCCGGAGAGGGAGCCUGAGAAACGGCUACCACAUCCAAGGAAGGCAGCAGGCGCGCAAAUUACCCAAUCCCGAUACGGGGAGGUAGUGACAAUAAAUACUGAUACAGGGCUCUUUCGGGUCUUGUAAUUGGAAUGAGUACAAUCUAAAUCCCUUAACGAGGAACAAUUGGAGGGCAAGUCUGGUGCCAGCAGCCGCGGUAAUUCCAGCUCCAAUAGCGUAUAUUAAAGUUGUUGCAGUUAAAAAGCUCGUAGUUGAACCUUGGGCCUGACCGAUCUGUCCUCCUAAUCGAGCGCACGGAUUCGGUUGGGCCUUUCCUUCUGGGGAGCCCUAUGCCCUUCACUGGGCGUAGUGGGGAACCAGGACUUUUACCUUGAAAAAAUUAGAGUGUUCAAAGCAGGCAUUUGCUCGAAUACAUUAGCAUGGAAUAAUAGAAUAGGACAUCGGUUCUAUUUUGUUGGUUUCUAGGACCGCUGUAAUGAUUAAUAGGGAUAGUCGGGGGCGUCAGUAUUCAAUUGUCAGAGGUGAAAUUCUUGGAUUUAUUGAAGACUAACUAUUGCGAAAGCAUUCGCCAAGGAUGUUUUCAUUAAUCAGUGAACGAAAGUUAGGGGAUCGAAGACGAUCAGAUACCGUCGUAGUCUUAACCAUAAACUAUGCCGACUAGGGAUCGGACGGUGGUUUUUUAUGCCCCGUUCGGCACCUUACGAGAAA
Molecule: ribosomal RNA, 1013 nt
Filed under: Cladophialophora globosa
Lineage: Eukaryota; Fungi; Ascomycota; Eurotiomycetes; Chaetothyriales; Herpotrichiellaceae
Description: SSU rRNA
Rfam family: Eukaryotic small subunit ribosomal RNA
Source: RNAcentral